CAAUAGCGUAUAUUAAAGUUGUUGCAGUUAAAAAGCUCGUAGUUGAAUUUCUGGUUGAAGCGACCGGUCGGGCGUUGAUUCGUCUGCACUGGAGUCGGUUUUGGCCAUCCUCUAGGAAAGUGCGUCUGGUAUUAAGUUAUCGGGCGUAUGAUCCUGGUCUUUUACUGUGAAAAAAUUAGGGUGUUUAAAGCAGGCCUUCGCCUUGAAUACAUUAGCAUGGAAUAAUAAGAUAGGACUUUGGUCUAUUUUGUUGGUUUGCAGACCGAAGUAAUGAUUAAUAGGGAUAGUUGGGGGUAUUUAUAUUCCGAUGUCAGAGGUGAAAUUCUUAGAUUUUCGGAAGAUAAACUUAUGCGAAAGCAUUUACCAAGGAUGUUUUCAUUAA
Molecule: ribosomal RNA, 382 nt
Filed under: uncultured eukaryote
Lineage: Eukaryota
Description: partial 18S ribosomal RNA
Rfam family: Eukaryotic small subunit ribosomal RNA
Source: RNAcentral